RNAcentral lists this ribosomal RNA (192 nucleotides) under uncultured bacterium. Its description in RNAcentral is "partial 16S ribosomal RNA". It matches the Rfam family "Bacterial small subunit ribosomal RNA", at positions 1309 to 1500 of the family's 1533-position model. The record is from RNAcentral.
ACUACGCCUACAUGAAGCUGGAGUUGCUAGUAAUCGCGAAUCAGCAUGUCGCGGUGAAUACGUUCCCGGGCCUUGUACACACCGCCCGUCACACCAUGGGAGUCGGAAAUGCCCGAAGUCUGUGACCCAACCUUAGGGAGGGAGCAGCCGAAGGCAGGUCGGAUGACUGGGGUGAAGUCGUAACAAGGUAGC